RNAcentral lists this ribosomal RNA (408 nucleotides) under uncultured microorganism. Its description in RNAcentral is "bacterial SSU rRNA". It matches the Rfam family "Bacterial small subunit ribosomal RNA", at positions 509 to 915 of the family's 1533-position model. The record is from RNAcentral.
CAGCCGCCGCGGUAAUACGUAGGGGGCGAGCGUUGUCCGGAAUUAUUGGGCGUAAAGCGCGCGCAGGCGGUCCCUUAAGUCUGAUGUGAAAGCCCACGGCUCAACCGUGGAGGGUCAUUGGAAACUGGGGGACUUGAGUGCAGAAGAGGAGAGCGGAAUUCCACGUGUAGCGGUGAAAUGCGUAGAGAUGUGGAGGAACACCAGUGGCGAAGGCGGCUCUCUGGUCUGUAACUGACGCUGAGGCGCGAAAGCGUGGGGAGCAAACAGGAUUAGAUACCCUGGUAGUCCACGCCGUAAACGAUGAGUGCUAAGUGUUAGAGGGGUUAAACCCUUUAGUGCUGUAGCUAACGCGUUAAGCACUCCGCCUGGGGAGUACGGCCGCAAGGCUGAAACUUAAAGGAAUUGGGG